UACGGAGGGUGCGAGCGUUGUCCGGAAUCACUGGGCGUAAAGGGCGCGUAGGUGGCCUGUGGAAGUCUGCGGUGAAAGCCCGGCGCUCAACGCCGGGUCGGCCGUGGAUACUCUCGGGCUCGAGCUUACUAGAGGCAGAUGGAAUUCCGGGUGUAGCGGUGGAAUGCGUAGAGAUCCGGAAGAACACCGGUGGCGAAAGCGGCUCACUGGACCAUUACUGACGCUGAGGCACGAAAGCUAGGGGAGCAAACAGG
This 254-nucleotide ribosomal RNA is filed under the name uncultured bacterium. RNAcentral describes it as "partial 16S ribosomal RNA". It matches the Rfam family "Bacterial small subunit ribosomal RNA", at positions 524 to 776 of the family's 1533-position model. The record is from RNAcentral.